This 549-nucleotide ribosomal RNA is filed under the name uncultured Glomus. Its description in RNAcentral is "SSU rRNA". It matches the Rfam family "Eukaryotic small subunit ribosomal RNA", at positions 548 to 1098 of the family's 1831-position model. The record is from RNAcentral. Lineage: Eukaryota; Fungi; Glomeromycota; Glomeromycetes; Glomerales; Glomeraceae.
UUGGAGGGCAAGUCUGGUGCCAGCAGCCGCGGUAAUUCCAGCUCCAAUAGCGUAUAUUAAAGUUGUUGCAGUUAAAAAGCUCGUAGUUGAAUUUCGGGAUCAAUACGUCGGUCGUGCCUCUGGUAUGUACUGGUGUUAUUGAUUUCUCCUUUCUGAUGAGCCAUGAUGUCAUUAAUUUGGUGUUGUGGGGAGUCAGGACUGUUACUUUGAAAAAAUUAGAGUGUUUAAAGCAGGCUUACGCUUGAAUACAUUAGCAUGGAAUAAUGAAAUAGGACGUUCGAUCCUAUUUUGUUGGCUUCUAGGAUCAACGUAAUGAUUAAUAGGGAUAGUUGGGGGCAUUAGUAUUCAAUUGUCAGAGGUGAAAUUCUUGGAUUUAUUGAAGACUAACUACUGCGAAAGCAUUUGCCAAGGAUGUUUUCAUUAAUCAAGAACGAAAGUUAGGGGAUCGAAGACGAUCAGAUACCGUCGUAGUCUUAACCAUAAACUAUGCCGACUAGGGAUCGGAUGAUGUUAAUUUUUUAAUGACUCAUUCGGCGCCUUACGGGAAAC